UGCGAGUCAACGUAUGAAUAAUACGUGGCGAACGGCUCAGUAACACGUAGUCAACAUGCCCAGAGGACGUGGAUAACCUCGGGAAACUGAGGAUAAACCGCGAUAGGUCAUAAUUACUGGAAUGUGUUAUGGCCCAAAUCUAUAUGGCCUCUGGAUUGGACUGCGGCCGAUCAGGCUGUUGGUGAGGUAAUGGCCCACCAAACCUUUUACCGGUACGGGCUCUGAGAGGAGGAGCCCGGAGAUGGGCACUGAGACAAGGGCCCAGGCCCUAUGGGGCGCAGCAGGCGCGAAACCUCUGCAAUAGGCGAAAGCCUGACAGGGUUACUCUGAGUGAUUCCCGCUAAGGGAAUCUUUUGGCAUCUCUAAAAAUGGUGCAGAAUAAGGGGUGGGCAAGUCUGGUGUCAGCCGCCGCGGUAAUACCAGCACCCCGAGUGGUCGGGACGAUUAUUGGGCCUAAAGCAUCCGUAGCCGGUCUUGCAAGUCUUCCGUUAAAUCCAGCUGCUUAACAGAUGGGCUGCGGAGGAUACUACAAGGCUAGGAGGCGGGAGAGGCAAGCGGUACUCAGUGGGUAGGGGUAAAAUCCUCUGAUCCAUUGAAGACCACCAGUGGCGAAGGCGGCUUGCCAGAACGCGCUCGACGGUGAGGGAUGAAAGCUGGGGGAGCAAACCGGAUUAGAUACCCGGGUAGUCCCAGCUGUAGACGAUGCAGACUCGGUGAUGGGCCGGCUUUAUGCCGGCUCAGUGCCGCAGGGAAGCCGUUAAGUCUGCCGCCUGGGGAGUACGGUCGCAAGACUGAAACUUAAAGGAAUUGGCGGGG
Molecule: ribosomal RNA, 816 nt
Filed under: uncultured crenarchaeote
Lineage: Archaea; Thermoproteati; Thermoproteota
Description: bacterial SSU rRNA
Rfam family: Archaeal small subunit ribosomal RNA
Source: RNAcentral